GAACGCUGGCGGUAUGCUUAACACAUGCAAGUCGAACGGAAACGAAACUAGCUUGCUAGUAGGCGUCGAGUGGCGGACGGGUGAGUAACGCGUAGGAAUCUGCCUGAUAGUGGGGGAUAGCCCGAAGAAAUUCGGAUUAAUACCGCAUAAUCUAUUCGUAGUAAAGUGGGGGACUUUCGAGCCUCACGCUAUCAGAUGAGCCUGCGUAAGAUUAGCUUGUUGGUAGGGUAAAAGCCUACCAAGGCAACGAUCUUUAGCUGGUCUGAGAGGAUGAUCAGCCACAUCGGGACUGAGACACGGCCCGAACUCCUACGGGAGGCAGCAGUGGGGAAUAUUGGACAAUGGGGGCAACCCUGAUCCAGCAAUACCGCGUGUGUGAAGAAGGCCUGAGGGUUGUAAAGCACUUUCAAUUGUGAAGAAAAGUUAACGGUUAAUAACCGUUGACCUUGACGUUAACUUUAGAAGAAGCACCGGCUAACUCCGUGCCAGCAGCCGCGGUAAUACGGAGGGUGCAAGCGUUAAUCGGAAUUACUGGGCGUAAAGCGUGCGUAGGCGGUUUAUUAAGUCAGAUGUGAAAGCCCCGGGCUUAACCUGGGAACUGCAUUUGAAACUGGUCAACUAGAGUAUGGUAGAGGAAAGUGGAAUUUCUGGUGUAGCGGUGAAAUGCGUAGAUAUCAGAAGGAACAUCAAUGGCGAAGGCAGCUUUCUGGACCAAUACUGACGCUGAGGUACGAAAGCGUGGGUAGCAAACAGGAUUAGAUACCCUGGUAGUCCACGCCGUAAACGAUGAUAACUAGCCGUUGGGGGGAUUUACCCCUUAGUGGCGAAGCUAACGCGUUAAGUUAUCCGCCUGGGGAGUACGGCCGCAGCUAACCUC
RNAcentral lists this ribosomal RNA (877 nucleotides) under gamma proteobacterium SCGC AAA240-F04. RNAcentral describes it as "SSU rRNA". It matches the Rfam family "Bacterial small subunit ribosomal RNA", at positions 31 to 902 of the family's 1533-position model. Lineage: Bacteria; Pseudomonadati; Pseudomonadota; Gammaproteobacteria. The record is from RNAcentral.